Molecule: unclassified non-coding RNA, 367 nt
Filed under: uncultured bacterium
Lineage: Bacteria
Description: contains 16S-23S intergenic spacer region
Source: RNAcentral
UCCGGCUUAUCACCGGCGGUUUCUUUAGAGUGCCCAACUAAAUGAUGGCAACUAAAGACGAGGGUUGCGCUCGUUGCGGGACUUAACCCAACAUUUCACAACACGAGCUGACGACAGCCAUGCACCACCUGUGUAGCACCCUCGAAGGCGACUCCGUUUCGGGAGCUUGCAGCUACAUGUCAAGUCCUGGUAAGGUUCUUCGCGUUGCAUCGAGUUAAGCCACAUGCUCCACCGCUUGUGCGGGCCCCCGCCAAUUCCUUUGAGUUUCAAUCUUGCGAUCGUAGUCCCCAGGCGGUUCACUUAAUGCGUUAGCUGCGGCACCGAGAAACCCCGACACCUAGUGAACAUCGUUUAUGGCCAAGACUAC